RNAcentral lists this ribosomal RNA (305 nucleotides) under uncultured bacterium. RNAcentral's name for it is "bacterial SSU rRNA". It matches the Rfam family "Bacterial small subunit ribosomal RNA", at positions 334 to 653 of the family's 1533-position model. The record is from RNAcentral.
AACGCCUACGGGAGGCAGCAGUGGGGAAUAUUGGGCAAUGGGCGCAAGCCUGACCCAGCAACGCUGCGUGAAGGAAGAAGGCUUUCGGGUUGUAAACUUCUUUUGUCAGGGACGAAGCAAGUGACGGUACCUGACGAAUAAGCCACGGCUAACUACGUGCCAGCAGCCGCGGUAAUACGUAGGUGGCAAGCGUUAUCCAGAUUUAUUGGGUGUAAAGGGCGUGUAGGCGGGAAUGCAAGGCAGAGGUGAAAACUAUGGGCUCAACCCAUAGCCUGCAUUUGAAACUGUAUUUCUUGAGUGCUGGG